GACGGUGUUGUUGUUGUUGUUGUUGGCUGGCCUGCCGACGGACUUGUUGAAGUAGCUCUUGACGGCGUCGUUGUUGGCGUUGGCGUUGUUCUUGUUGAGGUAGUAGUCGGUCACGCUCAUGGUCUUGCCGGCGGCGGCGUUGGCGUUGUUCUUGUUGAGGUAGUAGUCGGUCACGCUGAUGGUCUUGCCGGCGUUGGCGUUGGUGGUGUUCUUGUUGAGGUAGUAGUCGGUCACGCUGAUAGCGGCGGCGUUGUUGGAACCAACACCUGCACCUGCACCGGCGGCGUUGGCGUUGUAGCGGUCGGCGCUGGUGGUUGUGGCGUUGCCGAAGGCGAGCUUGGCGGAUCCGAUGAGGCCCGGGGAGUUGGUAUUGCCGCCGGGGAAGGAGGAGGAGGGAUCCGGUGGCGAGGUGGUGGAGGACCAGAUGGAGUCGGCGAUGGAGAGGUUGGAGAAGUUGUUGUGCAGGCGCAGCUGGUCGCUGAAGUUCCAGAACUCGCGGUCGUAGGAGGCGUCCAUGGCGGAUGGAUGGAUCGGGAGGUCGGCGGUCGGGUCCUCCUCACUACCUCUCCUCCCCAACCAAACCAACUGGUGAAUGGAAGAAGAGGAUGGAUGCGAUGCGAUGUCCAGGACUGCCGGAUGGGAGUUGGAAGAGGGUAGCUGUAGCCUGUAGGGGGAGGAACGAGAACGGCAAGUGGGGCCGGGCCGGGCCGGGCCGGGCCGUGCAAGCAAAGGCAGGACUGCCGUGCCCCCUAAGAUUACCCGAAUUUCGGGUCGGGUAAUUGAAAAUUCGAGUAUCCGAUAUUAGUUUUGAAAAAACACUAUCUAUAAUUUCGAGUAUCUGAUAAUUCGGGUUCGGGUUCGGGUAUUCUCGAUUUACCCGAAUUUUCAAAAAACAACACACUACACAAAAUUUCAAUAGCAAUUUAUAUAUCAUUUCAACAGCAAUUUGUAUAGAAUUUCAAUAGCAUUUUGUAUAGAAUAAUAUAUUACUAUCACUUGUGCAAACAAAGAUAAUUAUGUUCUAAUAAAUUGAUAAGUUCUAAUAUUUAACUAACAACACAUGAUAAAUACAAUGAUAUAGUCAAAUAUUUGGGUAAUUCGGGUAGUUCGGGUACCGAGGGAUAUUACCCGAAUUACCAAAAUAAUUUCGGGUAAUCAAAAUCGCUAUCCGAAUUUAGGAUCGGGUACCUCGGGUUCGGGUAAUUCGGGUCCGGAUCCGAAUAAUGGGUAUCGGGUAAUUUGUCUAGGCCUAGUGCCCACUGGGAGCCUUCCUUUAAUUUUUGUAGACCACGCACUCACUAGUCACUAGGCAUCAUCAGUUCCCUUUCACUCCUGUUCCCACGUACAAUUUGUAUACAUAAUCUUUAGAAAUUCAUUUAAUAAAUUCUAAGUAUACUUGUAUAUGUGUAAAUUAUGUUAUAUAUUUUUGUACGUGGUCGCGUAAUGUAUAUAUUUUAGUCUUGUAUAAAGUUUUUUAUUGGUUGUACUCGAUGGGUUUUUUUUUUCUAUAUCAUCAUCAAAAGUAGUACACACGAUGUACAAAUUUAUGCCGACGAGAAAUGUCCAAAUCUCUUGCUUGUGCACUUUAAAGGGGGGUGUCGAUGAGAUGUGUUGUGUUCUACCGACCGGGAUCAACCUGAUCUGAUCGGUCGUUCAUUAGUUUUCUAAUCGGUUGCCAAGAGUUUUGGACUAAUCAGAUUAUACAAAGUAUCGGACUUGUAUCUUAAAUUGUCUUUGUCACCAAGUCGGUGAAGCACCUAGGUUUGUGUCUACUUGGCUAGUCGGCCUAGCCCAUCCCUUUCUAUGUGCAUGUGUUAUAUUAAUUUCUCAAUAAAAUUUAGGAGUAUAAAAUUUUAUUGAAUUUAUGUCAUAUUAAUUUCUAUAAAUAACUUGAAACAAUAAUAAUAUAAGGUAUUUUGAUAACUUUUUAGAAAAAAAAACCAUGCUAAAAAGGUACCAUGACUAUGUUUGUUUACAAAACUAUGUUAUUAAGAUAAUAAAUUAUAGUGAUAGGUUUUGUGUGAGAAGUACUAUAUGUAGAAAUUGUGAGCAUAAUUUUGUAGCUUUUGAAAAAUAAAACAAUUGUAGAAACGAAUGUUUCAAUAAAAAAUCACACACAGGGGCACGUGAGAUUGACAAAUACCAAGAGCGGAACAAACUAAGAGCUUAUUUGGAAUACAUGAAAAGAAAAACAUGAAAAUUGGAAAAACAUAGAAAUAUUUUAUGAUUUUAGAUGCAAAAUAGAGGAUUGGAGGAAUUUUGAUGGAAUGGCCGUUGAUAGGUCAUAGGAAUCCUAAAGGACAUAAUGAAGAUGUUUUAUUUUCAAUAGAUAUAGCUAAAACAUUUCUUCUACAUGACAUUAUAUCUAGUAGCAGUCCUGAGUUUCUCGUUUCUACCAACAGUAUUUCCACAAAAAAAAAACGUUCACAAAUUAUGUGCAAAAAAAAAAAAAAAACACGUUCACAACGCAUGCAAUCCAAAGGAGACCUAAAAAUGGUGGAUUGGUGCGACGGCCGGAAGGACACGCGGCUGGACGCGGUUAGCCCCAGCCCUAAUCAGGAGUACUACUCUUUGGCUAGUGGUGCGCGUGCACCCACACCCAUUGAUUGUAAUUUAAUAAUAAAUCGUAUUAUUAAUGUCCCUAUUCCGUUCCGUUCCGUUCUGUGCCGCCAUAGCUGCCAAGCAAAUUCAACCAAGAUGCUUCUAGAAGCGCUUUGCUUAGACUACAACUAUUUUGGCGUACGGCUCAAAGGCUUGUUUAGCUCCGAAUUUUUUUAUUUGACUACUAUACUAUUUUUAUUUUAUUUGAUAAUUAGUGUUUAUUAUGAACUAACUAGAUUUACAAGAUUCAUCUUGCGAUUUAUAAACAAACUGUGAAUUGAUUUUGUUUUUAUUUACAUUUAAUGCUCCAUGCAUGUGUAUAAAGAUAUGAUGUGAUAAGUAAAAAAAUUUUAAAGUGUGGAACUAAACAAGGUCUUAGUAGGAGUUUUAUCGGUAUUCAAUAUGGUGUCAAGUAGGUAUUUUUUUUUAUGAAAUGGUACUAUUGAUAAAGUUGUUUUUUACUUUACCGAUGACUCAUGCUCAUCUAUGAACUGUAGCAAGAAGUUGAAACUGUUUGGAGCCGGCCGGGCCUAAAUCAAUUUGAGCUUCCCACACUCAAAUCUUCGCACUCGGUCGUCUCGGCGAGAGAAAUAUGUACAGAUGUAUAUGUUCAUACAUGCAUAACACCGCCGUACAUGUGCGAACACACCUUUGCACGCUAAGACUUUGUUUGGAUGUAGUGGAUUCACAUCAAUCCACAUGUGUUGAGGUAGAUUGGAGUGGAAUUUGAACUAAAUUCCACCCUAAUCCACACCAACAUGCACAUAGAUUGAAGUGAAUACGACAACAUCCAAACAAGACCUAAGGUGAAAUUUAGCGGCUGCUAUUUAAGUUAGCGGACCGCUAUAUGUAGCACUUCACAAUUCUUCGUAGCGCCCGCAAUAGUAUGGUAUGGUAUGCAACAAAUAAAUAAUUUUAGUUCACCUAAGAUAACAGAUGUCUUAUAUGCUACUUUUUUAACAAUGCUGGUCUUAUAAAUUAUUUAUGACUCUCAUAAUCUAUUUUUUAUAAACUCUGAUAUAUAAUAACUUAUAUAAGUUGUGGAACACUAUGUUUUUUUUUCUUAAUUUAAGUAUGUGAGACAUCGGUUCUUUGAGUUGUGUAUAGUUAAAUGUUUAUUUAUACCUAUUAUUCAAGAUAUAUAUGCUUAAAUUUAUAUGUGGUUAUCAUAUGCCUCUAUUGGAACUUAGCGUGCGCAAUAGUGCCCGCUAUCUACUACCAAUCCGCUAUAUGCUAUUUAAUACCUUGAUGCUCGUCUAAGAGAGAUUGGAUCAAUAUGUUAGAAGAUUGACAAACUUAUCAUAUAAGACUACCAGUGUUAACGAGCACAUCAUCUAUCGCUAGAUCACUAGCUAUUAACAAUGUGUUUCAUUCAUACAAUUCAUGACGGCUAGGAACGGGCAAAUCAAGAGUUUCACUUAGGGUCCAUAAUAUAUGUGUCCCAUUUUCUCAAACAUGUUGCAUCCAGCCACCACCUACCAGGUAUGUAAUAAUUCAUCUGUUUCAAAAAAACUCGAUGUUUUAGGAUAGGUUAUUAGUCCUUAAAUAAAAUUGUCCUAUUCAUUGAGUGACUCUUGCUAAUUAAGAAAUAUAAGGCCUUGUUUACUUCCAAAUUUUUUUGCAAAAUAGGUAUAGUAGCACUUUCGUUUGUAUUUGACAAAUAUUGUCCAAUCAUGGACUAACUAGGCUCAAAAGAUUCGUCUCGUCAAAUUCGACCAAACUGUGCAAUUAGUUUUAAUUUUCAUCUAUAUUUAAUACUCCAUGCAUACGUCUAAAGAUUCGAUGUGACAGGAAAUCUGAAAAAUUUUGCAAAAUUUUUGGGAACUAAACAACGCCUAAGUCGCUAAAAAGAUUGAGUGGAGGCAUGCAUACUUAUAUAUCAGGUUGAUAUGGGCCCAAUCUAGUUUCAAGAGCUAAAGCAAUACGUUUUCUAAGACAAAAUUUUAAUCCUAAAACAUCGUAGAGAGAGAGAGAGAGUACUUUCUAUCAUGUGCAUGUUAAUUGUACUGGCACUCUUGCUAACACCAAUCAAGCUACACUUAAGCCGGCACUAAUUUGUGGUGGAACCGGAUGUUCCUAAACCAUGAUGGCUACGGCUAAACAGCAACUUGGCUGGUGAACUUUAUAUAGAAGAAAACUUGGUAGAUACACCUGUCAUGUGUUGAUGCAUUGCAAAUAAGACAAGGUCACUUUAUGCUAAAGCCUUUUAGUUUGCUUAGUGGGGAAGAUUAGGCUUCGCAUAAGACACUAGGGUGAGGCGCGGCGAUGGAUGGAUAUGAAUCAUAUGAUGCCGACCCUUCACCAGUUAGGUCUUGUUUGGAUGUUGUCGGAUUUAUUUCAAUCUAUGUGUGUUGGUGUGGAUUAGGGUGUAAUUUAAUUCAAAUUCCACCCCAAUCCACACCAACACAUAUGGAUUGAUGUGAAUCCGACUACAUCCAAACAAGGCCUUAUAGUUCACUAGUCACGACUCACUCACAACCAUAUGACAUUGUCACUCCUAAUGAUACUUUUCUCACCAAUGUUGUCUGCUCCACUUGUCAUUUCAUUUCUAGUUUCUUUCUCUCUGUGUGUUCUUUCCACUGGAAUACAGACAGACCGUGCAAAAAAGCAUGCACAGCAAGACAGGACAGAACUUGUGACCACUGAGAAUGCUUAUCCUAGGGCAGCCGGCAGCGCUACGCGCUUUCAUUUUGUGGCAAAUAAAAAAAAAUACUUUCUCCAUCCCUAAAUAAAUUAACUUCUAGAAUCUACGUCAGUUAAAACUUUUUAGAUUUUGGCUAUUUUUUUUAGAAAAGAGUAACAAUACAUAUGACAUAAAAUGAGUACCUUAUGAAAAUAUAUUCCAUAAUAAAUCUAAUGAUAUUAAUUUGAUACCAUAAAUUUUAACAUUUUUUGAAAUCCUAAAAAAAAUUGAAUUAAUAUAACUCUAAAAAUAUAUUUAUUUAGAGACAGUGAAAGUACACGGAUAAGAUUUUUUUAGACACAUACUCAUAAUCCACGAGUAUUAGUGUAGAUUGGAGUCAAAAGUUAACUAGUUUUUUCUUUAUCUUGAUACAUAUGAAUUACAGUGGAGUGCAGUUAAAUAAAACCUUAGCUAUACAUAGGGUCAAAGGAAACAAAUAUUUUAGUCUGUACCGAAGAACUAUGAUGUGUUUUAUAGAUUUCUGGUGAGAGUUCAGGAUUCAUAUAUAUUUUUCAUACAGUGUCUGCACAUAUGUCCUGUCAUUUCAUUUCAGUUUCUUUCUUGUCUAUUCUUUCUGGACGAGGCACUCGAACGCAGACAUACUGUGCAAAAAUGCAUGCAUAAGAAUCUGUGACCAUGAGAGUGCCUUAUCCUGGCAAAAUAUACAGUGCAAUACAAACCCAGAGGUAACUGUAAAACAUGCAAACAUUUUUAUUUUGUGGCAAAUGAAAAAUACAUUAGCAAGGGAUUUUUAGAUAAGCACACCCACUUUUAGGAAUGCGCACACACCUUAUUUCGAGCACGCACACACCUUAUUUCGAGCACGCACACACCUUAUUUCGAGCACGCACACACCUUAUUUGUAGCUCAGAUGUUCAUAGGGGUGAAGAAAACAAAUAUUUUAGUCUGCACAAAAAAAACUAUGAAAAUGUGUUUUAUAGCUUCUGUUUGAAUUCUUAUGAUGAUGUACAUUUCUUUUUCCUAGAGUGCCUGGCAAGGAUUAACAUAAAGGCUCCUUUAAAAGCCCAGUUGGAAAUAGUAAGAUAUAUAUGUCACUGAUUUACAGGAGACGAUUUCAACAGCUCAACCGAAUUCUAGUUGCAUUGCUUUGCCUAUUAUCUCUGCUCAAGUGCUAACAAAUCCACAUAACACCACCUCGGUUGGAAGAACAAAACAACAGUAAUGUACACUUUCUCAAGCAACAUCUAUAUAAUACGACAUACGCAUCAGUUUACAGCUAUAGUCUUUGUAUGUACUUACAUAUUGUCUCGCUUGAUUGCUUUCUGCUUUCACCAUUAGAUGCACAGCAUCUUCCCGCAGUCUACAUACUUUAGUCAGAACUUCACAGGGCUCCUCCAGUGCUCCAUGCAAAAUUGUGCAAACCAAAGUCCAUGCUAUUCAUUGAGAAACUACUGUCAGCUCUGGCACUCUAAAUCCUCCAUGGCUUGCUUGCUACACCCAGCUGAUGAUGGACAUCAUUGUUGCUUCCAUCUAGCAUCAGCAAUAUAUUGUUAAGAUUAUUUAGAAAAGAGGUGUCAACCAAUUAUGCAUCUAGGUUCAAAUUGUUGAGACUAGAAAUCCAUACUUCCACGCUGUCUCAAAACAAAAAAGCAUACAGCAAUGACAAUGUAACAAAACAGCAGCAGCAGUCCCUUCAGAUAAUGCGAUGAUCCAUCCUGCAAAACGCGUAAACGAGUGGUCACUCUUUAGGGCUAAUACCACAAUAUUGACAGCACUCCUAUGGCCAGUAAUAGCACAUCAAUGGGCUUGAUUCCUAGAGAAAAUUAAAUUUUGCUGCACCCUAGAAACAAGGACACAGCCCAACAGCACAAAAUGUAUAUUUCUUUUCUUCAUCAUAAAUAAAAUAAGCACAUACAGCUAACCAACCAAGAUUUAUGAAUGUUCUGCUAAUGAAAUAUCCAUGCUAUCAAUCAUGUUUAAGAUGCAUCAAGGAGGGUGCAAAAGAAAAAGGGGGAAAAAUACCUGGAGCGUGAAGGCCGUUACUAAUACUGCAAGAAACAAAGAACCAGUCUCAAGCAAGUUGAAAUCAAGAUCCAUCGGGACUCCCAUGAUCCAUGCUACAAGGACACUCAAUGGCACCUAGCACAUUUUGCUUCCACCAUUAAAGUUUACUGAUGCAAAAAAGCACAUGGAACUAUCUCUACAAGUUUAGUUAACACCCACCACAAACAUGGAAAUCUGUGUAGCAGAACCCAAAGAUACUCCGAGGGUGAUGUCCUGUUUGAACCAACAAUGUUCUGUUAGUAGAUGCUACCACAACAUUGCAACGAGUGUCCAAGAGCUCCUCAAGUUCCCUACCAGCUUGUUUUUAAAAGCAAAUAUGACUGCACCGGCAUGCUCUGCUGCAUUACCAACUAUUGGAAUUAAGAUGAUGCUAAUGAAGCUGACAGAUAGUUCCCAUGAUUUUGAUGCUGCCUGUUAACAUGACUCUCUGUCAGAAAACCACUAGCUGCAGUACAACCUACAAUAGUGUAUGUGUUGACUGAAAUGGGCAAAAUAAACAUGGCAUUGUACUGCAUGAUGGAUACCUCAAUUGUACUCACAACAAACUCUGAUAGGACUGCUGUCAUCAGAGUCAUGACCCCCAGCCAAAUCAUGGCACUGGAAAAUCCCAGUACCACCUCGUCUUGAGAGACUGAAUCAUCACCAUCAUCUUCGACCUACAAAAACAUUUGAUUGGAUCACGCAGUCAUAUUAACCAACUGGUUCAAUGUUAGCAGCUCCUGGUGGUUACAAUCAGCAACAUAUCACAGAACACACCUCUUGGGGCUCAAAGAGUUGGCGGUGGGUUUUCAGUUGGAAGAAAAGGUAGGCUACAUAGGCAAGGAGCAUGACAAUGCUGCAUGCUCGGGAUAGCUCCAGUUCUGAAUCCCAAGAAGAUACCGCGUGCUCCCCGGAGCUCACAGCAUACCUCAGCAUCAGUGGCAGAGAGUGGCAUAGCACACCAAGAAUCAGAAGUCCUGUGCUGACAUCUACUUGCAUCUGUACACAACAAAACCAUAUAAUCAUCGUAGUAAGACAAAAAAUUUCUUUUGGUAUUUUCAAGGACAGCUUAAUAAUAGUGAGAAAUAGCUGAGUUGGUUACUCUGUCGUAUAGCUGCUCAGUUCCAAGGUUAGCCAGGCCACCAAGGAAAAGGGAGGUUCCAAGCACAAGCAACAAGUUGGACAAGACUGAGCCGAGUAGGGAGCAUUUCACCACCACUACCUUGCCUUCAUACAGCGCAAAGAUUGCAAUGAUGACCUCUGUUACAUUUCCAAAUGUUGCAUUCAACAGUCCACCCACUGCAAUUUACUGGGGCAGGUUAGGAAACAAUGCAAAGGUUCUGGCCUGGAUAAGAAGACUGAAUCUGACAGUAUUUAUUUUUUUACCAGUAGGCCCUGUGUAAAACGCAACCUGCCUGCAACAUUAACAUAUAUUACAUAUAGCGGAAAGAUAUUAAUCAACAGGAGGUAUCAAGAACAUGGUAUGAGUAUGAUAAUGAGCAGAACACACUUACUCAGUCAGAAAGCUAAGUCGCUCAGCAAGAGGAACGAGACCGAUCAAGCUAAGCACAAAGACCCAUUCCUGUUGAGUUUCAAGAAGAAAGCAUCCAUUAAGAAAACGGAAGGGGAGAUAUGGGCGUAAUCACACAUUGGCUACAAAGCAUCACUUGUUUCGAUCAGUUUUAGUUCCAUUGGAAUGCAAUACUGAGAUGGAGUCGUAUAUUUAGUUGUAUCUUGUUGAAGUUAAGCAAACGAUGGUGAAGUGGCAAUGGAACAAAAGAAGCGAGGCCCAUUCAGCAUCUAGCAAGGUCAUAUUUGGGGCAAUCCAAUCUGUCCUUUUGUUUGUAUAUCAUGCACUCAUGUGUUUGGACGAGGACAGAGAAGAACAUUGUACGUGUGCAAGCUAGUUCACAUGCCCAGCAGGACCACGGUGAAAAGACAAGGUAGAAGUUUGUCCUGUUGCAAAAUUCACAUCUCAUGGGAAGAACUACAUAUCACUGUUGUGCCUAGUGAAAGUCAAGUCAAUCUGCUGAGCUGGAGCUAAAACCUGAAGCUAAUCUGUCGUGUUGUCAACUGUGUCAUUUGUGAGUGAGGUCAAAACUGAAGGGGUAGAAUGAAGGAGAAUAUUGGGUGAACGGAUGAAGAAUAAUAAAUCAUGUUCUGGUGAGUAGAUGGGCAAGUAGAGCAGGACCGACAAGGUGUUAGAUAGGACGUAGGGGAAGCAUGCUCAUGCAUGUGAUUGGCGGAUUAGUUUAGUUGUGGUGCUAGUAUUUCAUUCCAUGAUUCCAUCUGUGUCAGACCGAACAGAAUUUGGCAGCAACAGGCUAGCUAGCCCACAUGGUCACAUGUAUGUAUGCAAAAUUACAAAUACUCUGCGAUUGUAGCCAUCAUCGGAGCGAGAGUCUGCUUCUCUGUUCACGCGUUGUGGUUGUGGGUGGUGUAUUUUCUUUGACUUGGAUGGGUAGUUUAUGCAACAGAGUUGCAGUUGCAGGGUUGUUUAUUGUUUGGGAAUGUGCUUGGGAAGUGGCUGGCAGGCAAUAAAUAGACUGGUAAGAGGGAUGUGAGAUGCAGAGAAGAGAGCGGUGAGAAUUGAGGCGGCACAUGAAGCGGAUGCAAUCAUGCCUCCUGGGCCUGGCUGGCCGCUGGCGUGAUCAAAAUGCUCUUUUUUUAUAUACAUACAAUACAGUGCGUAUAACUAAAAAAACAAUGUAUAAUAUCUGUCUCCCGGCCGGUCUGACUGUGCGCGUUGAAUGAUGCAGAGAAUAUCAAUCGAAGAAGAUGCCCAAAUUUUGAUCGAACUGGAGUAGCACAUACGAAUACACGAGCGAGAAAUUAAAGGGGAAAACGAUGCGAUGACGGUAGGAUCGGAGGAGGAGUUGGCUUGCCUGGCCGAAUUGGAAGAUUCGCGCGGCGAGCGCGAGGAGGACGGCGGGGAAGAGGAGGGCGAGCUUGGUGGCGAGCAGGACCUCCUGGAAGUUGUCGAGGAGGCGGCGGAGCGUGGCGCAGGGGACCUUGCGGAGGAGCGCGAGGUCGGACUUCUUGCGGAGCGAGGAGGAGGACAUGUUGUGGGCGGUGCGGUGGGCGAGGAGUCGGGCGGGCAUCUCCUUGGCGUUGCCGUUGGCGGCGGCGGAGGAAGAGGCGGAGGCGGAGGAGUCGAGGAGAGCGGCGGCGGCGGAGUCCAUGCCGAUACGCCACCUCUGCUCCUCUGCGCCAACAGCGGCGCCGCCCCAGUAGGAAAGCGGGGGGCCGAGGGCUGCGUUGGUCCUCGUGUGUGGAGCUGGAGCCGCGCCUGCAGCUACAGGCAUUGCCUAUUGGGUUUUGCCGUUCACCUACGGUGGGUGGGCCUUGCUCGUCAGUCACCCAGCUCCAGCUCCUUGCUCUCCACCGUCACACACGGCGUCACCGUCGCCGUGGCUACAGAAAUCAGAUCACCAUCACGGCAAUGCAAUUGCCAACUGGGCGGCCGGGCCUGCUGCUGCUGCUGCUGCUUGCUGGAGAAAGAAGAAGGGCCGCUGGGAGCUCUGAUGCGAAUGCGAUGGAUCUAUCUAGCUCUCACAUGGAGUAUAGUAUACGGGAGUACGUAUAUACUAGUACGUAGACAGACAGCAGACAGGUGAGAUCGUGCUGGACUGGACAGACAGGGAGAGCCGGAGCCCGUAGCUAGAGAGCGCGCUGCUGCACCUUGCAGCCUGCAGUGCAGAUUGGAAUUGGCAUUCGAAUUGGGAUUGGAGGGAGAGAAUGGAUCAUUCUCAUGGCUUCGCAGGCAGGAUGUAGGUAUAUUUUGGGACUGACGCUUGUUGUGAUGUACGAAAGAACAAACAAAUUCACAUCAUUUUGAGAGCGAUAUUUUAGUCACUAGUUGUGCUCAUGAACUAGUCAUGGCCGUCUAGGCACACCAUAGAUCAACUACCAGUAGUAGAGUGACAGCGAUACUUGAAUAAUUCAUGAUCAGCUAGCUAUAUGUUUAUUUUAGGCCUUGUUUAGUUAUCAUCCUAAAACUUUACACCAUGUUCCAUCAAAUAUUUAGAUACAUACAUAAAACAUUAAAUAUAAAUAAAUAAUAAUAAUUAAUUUGAUAGAUUGCAAAUACUUUUCAAGACGAAUCUUUUAAGUUUAAUUAGUUCAUGAUUAGAUACUAAUUGCUGCAGUACCACAUGUGCUAAUGAUCGAUUAUUUAGACUUAAUAAGUUUGUCUCGUGGUUUACUAAUGGAUUCUGUAAAUUUAUUUUUUUUUAUUAGUGUCCAAAUACCUCAUGCGAUACCUUAUUAUGUAAUAUCCAAUAUAACACCUAAAAACUUUAACUAAACAAACCUUUAAUUUGGGAUAAGCUGAUUUAUGCUUAAUUCAUGUUGUUUUACUUUGGGACAGCUUGUUAGUUAAUUAUUUGCCACUUUAGAUUUUUUUUUAAUCCCAAAUUUGCUAUCGAAGUCGCACUAAGGGCACUCACAAUGCAAGACUCUAUCAUAGAGUCCAAGACAAUUAAUUACAUAUUAUUUAUGGUAUUUUGCUGAUGUGGCAGCAUAUUUAUUGAAGAAAGAGGUAGAAAAAACAAAACUACAAGUCUUAUUUAGACUCUAAGUCCACAUUGUUCGAGGUAAUAAAUAACUUUAGACUCUAUGAUAGAGUCUGCAUUGUGAGUGCCCUAACACACGCAUUGACACAAAAGGCCUAGCGUUGGAAACCGUGCUUGGGACUUCUAUCGAAACUAUGAAGGCAAGGCCAAUGAAGACUUUGGCUGUAAUUGGUAGUGACGGAUUCCUGCACAAAUGUUUUAGAACUGGAUUCUCUCCAGAAAUGUUUAGGAAGAAUCAAAAUCACUCUAUAAGACCAUUGACGGAUAGGUUAGAUUCUGGUUCCUCAAACAUAUGCUUUUUCAAUAAAAAAAUCUUAUAAAUAAAAAUAUGUUUCACAAAAAUUUUAAUACCUUUUUGUUUACAACGAACAACUUAAAUAAAUCCAUUUUAACUUGUUGCACUUAAUUCUUGGUAAACUAUACAAUGCAAGUCCACAAAGGUGACGACAAGGAUAUAUCGGUGUGAAACCACAUUUUAGCAUAUUCAACCAUGUAGUGCAAAAAGAAGAAACGUUUCUCUGUGUUUCUGGAACGCUAUCAUUCAAAUCGUUUAGUGCCAAUUCUUGUGUUUCAUGUCUGAAUCAUAAAUGCUCCAAGAUACCAAAUAUAUCCUUAGGUCCUCUUUGCAAGGGCUUCGGUUUUCUCCAAAGCAGUGAAGCCAAAAAAACUGCAUUUUACGGGUCAUCAAUCUAAGGCCCAAUUUAGAUCUCUAUAGAUAAUAGCUAUUUGCUAUCUCUUUUGGAUACAAACAGAUGGAGCUAAUAACAUAGUUAAUUGUUAGUUAGACCUCUAGAUAAUAACUACCUCACUAGUUGGAUCAAAUUAGAUAAUAGUACUCUCUUUGUCAUUGAAAGAAUCAAUUUCUAGAGUUUUUCUAAGUCAAACUUUUUAAACUUUGACCGAAUUUCUAGAAAAAGCAGCUAAGAUUUAUGGUAUGAAAUUAGUAUCAUUAGAUUUUUUAUAAAAUAUAUUUUUAUAAGAUGCUCAUUUUAUAUCAUCGAUGUUGUUACUUUUUUUCUAUAAAAUUAGCCAAACUUAAAAAUAUUUGACUGACAUGAGUUAUAGGAAUUGAUUCUUUAAAAGGACAGAAGGAAUAGCUCAUAGUAAUCUUAGUAGCAUUUUCAUUAGCUGUAUCCAAACACCCUUCAGCUACUAGUUAGCUAGGUAAUAUUAGAUAGGAGCUAUUAAACAGCUAACUAUUAACCGAUAAUGAAUCAAACAGAGCCUAAUAAGCUCAUUGUUUCAGGACGCGGUUUUUUUGCCCUUAAGGGCAUAUGCCCUCACUCUCUCACCCAUUGGAUUCGAUUGAGAAGUGUGCAAACACACAUCUCAAUGCAUUGAUAUGUGUGUUUGCACACUUCUCAAAGCGAAUCCAAUGGGUAGGAGAGUGAGGGCACAUGCCCUCAAGGGCAAAGAAAACUUUACCCAUUGUUUCACCAGUAAAAUUUUGUAAUCUUUACCUAUAUACUCCAUCUUCUCGUACUGAAAAAAAAGGAGAUUUAAGAAGAUACAUACAGUACAUCUAGGUGAGGUGGACCUGCAUGCUCAUCCGUCGGAUUAAGAUCGGACGUUCGAAAAUAGAUGGACCGGAUCACCUGCUGGUGUUGGAGAAGAUGGCCUCGAGAUCGUUGUAGAGGUUCUUGGACUUGGACUUCCACUCCCCACUCCUCGCCUUGCUGCCGCUGGUCGACGCCUCCUCCUUGCCGGCACCGGCGCCGCCCGGGACCGCAUUGCCCUCCUUGCUGAAGCUAGCCUUCGCCAUCUCCCGCAGCUGCCGAAGCCACCACCGCUCGUUGUUGGAGCCCCGGGAACUCCCGCCCCUGCCCCCAUCGGUCUCCGUCGACGCCGACACGCUCUCCCCGGCUCCACCGCCGUCCGGAGGUGGCGGGUCCUGCUGGUGCUUCACCGCCACCCGCUCGCCGAGGGCCGACGAAGGCAGCACGAGCAGCAGCAGGCCCAGGCACGCCGUCUUGGCGCCGUCCAGGAACGAGCUCCGGUCGGCGCUCAGCAGCCGCGCCUGCCGGUACAGCGCGUUCCACUCGUUGCACACCUGCGCCGCGAACCCCAGUACGAAGGCGCCCAACAUCGCCAGCCCCACGCCGCGGGCCUCUCCGUCGGGCAGCCACCCGCCGCCGCCGCUCGCCGCCGACGUCCUGUCGAUCAGCGCCAGGCACGCCGCGAACACGGCCACCUCGCUGGCCACCGACAGGAUCUCCACCAGCUGAACCCGCUUCUUGAUGAAGGGCUUCUUGAGCAGCAUGAAGAAGAGCUGGAACGAGGCGACGGACAGCACCGCCACGGCUUCCGCGCGCGACGACCGCCCCGACGACGCGUGCGCGCCGGCCACGAUGCCCACCGCCACGCGCUUCACCGACUCCAGCAGCGUGAAAUAGAUGCGGAGCACGCCGAAGAGCUUCUGGAUGAAGGUGAAGGGCGCCUCCGAGUCCUCGUUCUCGUCUUCCGACGUGAUCAUCCGCUCUGGUCCACCGCCUGCAGCGCGGCGCUUGCCGCCUCCGCCGCCGUGCGCGGCGAUCGGCGUCAGUAUGUGCUUGGGCGGGCCGCGCAGGUCCUCGAAGAGCGGGCCGAGCUUGGGCAGGCAGGCGGCGCGGCGCGGGUCCUUCCACGUCCACUGCCCGCGCUUGCCGGGUCCCAGCGUGCGGCGGACCAGCUCCUGGUACCAGUGGUCGUACUCCUGCCCCUCCUGGCGCACCUCCUUGUACAGCAGCAGCCUGCCCAUGGUGAUGCCCAGCGACAGAAACAGCAGCAGGCCCACCAGGAACGAAGUCAGGACGGCGGUGAGCACGAUCCCUAUCACCAGGCCGCACGUGGUCCCGCCCCUGAUGAGCGCCGCCGCUGCCUGGGCAACGCACGGCAUUGCCAGGACGACGACCAUGAUCUCCAGUCUGGGGAGAACCAGCGCGCCGAAGCCAUGCCGCCGCCGCUGCUCCCUGUCCCUGUACCUCAGCUUGAAGUAGACGAGGGUGAGGAGAUGCAGGAGGAUGAGGCCGCCGCCGAUGACGCCCAGCCAGAACAUGUUCCUGCCGAAGUACUUCCACCUGUAUGUGUAUGUAAUGUACAGUACACACAAGAAUGCAUGCUCAGCUCAUCAGUCCACUUUCUUCAUGCUACACCAUUGCGGAAGCAAGCAUCAACAACAACAAUGCAACAUACCCAUCCAAAUCUUGUAGCUUCAUGAUGAUCUGUGCCUCAGGCUUCAUGUCCGGGUUCUGCAAGGUUUUACACUUUGCUUGUUUAUUCUUCAGAAUUCAUCAGAAAUGCAAUGCAAGCAGUAAAAGCAAGUGACCUCGAAGAAAGAGCGGUACUCCAUUGCAGACAGCGGCAUCCCGUCCAGCGGCAACGGGGUCUGCACUGGCAUCACCGGCGUGGCGUCUCCCGGAGUUUGCAUCGGCGGUGUGGGUUUCCCAUCUUCAGGGAUCUCCGUUGGGAAUACCGGGUCUGACGGGAUGAUCUGUGUUGGCGUCACCGGCUGACCUUGUACUCGAGGAUAGGAGAAGUUUGUAGUGCCGACGGCGCUCCUCUCGAGCAGCUCAGAGUAUGCAAUGGCGGGCAUUGUGGAGUAUCCCAGGAAUGGAUCUGCAGCUGGGCCUUCCCAUGGGAGACGCAUGUAGGGGAUGCUCCAUUCUAUCCCCUUUGCAAACUCGUAGUACUCGAUUGGCAGGUUCACUGACAGCCAUCUUGACAGAGCAAAGAUUUGGAUGUGGCACGCCAUCCUCUGAAUAAAACUCACGAGAUCAAUCACCAAAUGGCCUAUACACUAUCACCCAUCCAUCUGUGAUGUAAUGUAACCAUGCAUGAAGAAUUGAAGAUGCCAUGACAGUCAUCGACGGCGUGGCAUACUUACCAGGACAUUUCUUGAUGGCUCUGAGAUCAUGUAAGAAGAGGGCCUCGAGAUAGCUCCGGAAGCGACGAGAGACGAUGUCGAGAUGGUGAGGAGCGUGGCAGCAGCAGCAGUUGUCAGAAAUAUGACAGUGGUGACUGCUGCGAUCCAAGACGAUGAUGCAGGCACAGAAUCUGCAGAUACAUACAGUACAUCAAGUGUCCUGCUGCCUGCCUAAUGACUGUCUGUAAGCAAAGGAAAUGCUCAUACAGUGCCUCACUAGAAGACGGUCUGAUGCCAGGUUGGUGUUUCCAGCCACGUCCUGGGCUGCGUUCUCGGUAACCUGAACCGAUACCAGCUUAUCGAGUGCCUGUAUCUGCAGCGUGUAUAUGCUCUUACUGGCUUCAUGAAAGCUGAAAUAAAGAACAAUGAACCAUGAGAUGCUAAUAACAGCAAUAGUUAUCUUCUCAUAGGCGAUAUCAGAGAUGAGUCAAUUUCUUAAUAUACAAUCUUGCCUCAACACAUUGCCCCCAAACACCUGCACUGCCGAGGAGCUGAAGUUGAACACAGGCUUGGCAAACUUGAUCAGGACCGGGAUGUCGCGGGAGCUGGUCCGCCGAGUCGAUGUGCCGAGUUUAACCCAAGGUCUCUGUGUAUCUACCACACAAGGUUACCGAGCAGAAGCAAAAAGAAACAAAGAAAUCAGUAGUAGUGAAUUCUAAGUUGGGUGGAGCAGAAGCAGAGGGUGGCUCUCUAACCAUAAAGAAACGUGAAUGGCUCUGCUGAAAGCACCGGAGUCCCUUGCCUGCUGAUAAUAGAGCUUGUGUCACAGGCAACGGUCACAAUGGCGGUGUCGGACAUCUUGUUCACCUAGUUUAGUUAUUACAGGAUCAUGCAUAGUAUAGUAUGUCAGAGAAAACAACUCGAAAUCAGUGAUUCGAACGAACCAAGAACGAGGAGGAGCGAUGGAAUCCAAUCCACAAACAGCAAGUAGGUACUACUCACAACAUAGCCGAAGCGGCGAUUGCCGAGGGUGCUUCUGUUGGUGGGCGUCAGCACGGCGUCCGUCGCCGUAAGGGCACUCAGGAUCUGCUCCGACGAGUUGAGCACCGGCUGAGCGAAGGAGAGGUACAUCCUUAAGUUGUUGUCAUCGUUGGUGGCCUGAACCAGCCUGGUGACGCCCUGUAUCUGCAGCAUCUUCUCAGGAACAGUGGCGGUGAUGUUCAUGGAGUCACUCCUUCGAUCUGUAUGUGUUUACACAGAACGGUGGUUUUUCAACACGCAGACGCAGGUAGUGAUUCAUGGCGAGCGUGCAUGGCGUACCGAAGCGCAGGGUGAAAGUGGAGUUGGGCGUCCUGGUGAAUGGGUGUCCGGCGGCGUCCGUGCAGAAGCCCCUGCCCAUGACGAGGAUGAGGCGGCCGUACUGCGCGUCCGGCGAGAUGGUGACGGCGACGGAGUAGCGCAGGCCGGGGCUGAGCACCUUGAGCGUCGACGGGUCCACAGUGCCGGAGCCGUACACGAUGAGCUGCAAUGCAACAAAACAACGUCAGUUUUUUUUUGGCUGCGCGUGCGUGCGUGCCUGCAGAGAGAGACAAUUGACAGUACAUUGCAGUAGGUGGCGUUGCAGACGAAUCCACCGCGGCCGGGGCAUGGCUCGGAGAAGGAGACGAGCGCCGACACGGUGGAGGCCGCGCUCGUGAACGCCGUCGGCCCCGCCGACACGGACGCCGUCGGGGGUACAGUGUCUGCAGGUACGUGAUUCACGGUCGGCACAGCACAGCAGGCUCGCAGUUACAGCGAUCAAUGCAAAGCGAAAGAAACUGAGGGUGAGGUCCGGCCAUGGCCAUGUUUGUUACUCAACCAACAUCCCAAGCGUAGGUGCCGCAGGUGGGGCUGCUCGGCGAUGAUGACGUCGUUCUCGCGCACGCCGUGAAGGUGUGGUUCCCGUCCUUGAGCCCGGUGUAGCUCGUCGUCGUCCCGUUGCUCCCGCCGCAGGGCGACGCCGGCUCGCCGUCCAACUGCAUUGGUGUACAUGGAAUGCAAACACAAGCAAGCAUGGAUCCGACAUCAAAUUCAAUCCAUCCACCUAGCAUGCCGGUGGCUCCAUAGGCUAGCAUAUACCAAUUCCACUGAUAGCAGAAGGAGCUGGAACAGGAGCCAGGAGGAGGAACAAAACAACAAGGAAAGGAAAGGAAAGCAGCAAGCAGCAGCCACAUGCAUCAUGGUCAGCGCUUGAAUGCAGGCAGGCAGCAAUGCCGUGGUAUGGUAUGGUAUGGUAUGGUAUGGUAUGGUAUGGUAUGGUAUGGUAUGGUAUGGUAUGGUACCUGGCAGGUGACGAGGCAGUCGGCGCAAGGCCCUCCGGUGGUGGCGCGCAGGACUCGGAAGGCGAAGGCGGCGGACGUGGACCUGGAGACGCGGCGCGGGGUGGCUGAGAAGCUGAGGGCGACGUCGCCGACGCCGGAGCAGAGCGGCGCCGCAGCAGCGAGAAGCAGCACAGCAAUGCGCAGCAGCGGCGGCGCAGCGCCCCAGCUCUUCCACACCAUGCCGUUCUGCUGGUCCUGGCGCCGGCUGGCUGCUCUGCCCGGAACGGAAGCAGAUCAGAGGACGAGUACGAGUAGUGGAUCCACUACUCCUGAGCAAUGCUGCAGCCGCUCCCUUUGUGUGGAAGGAAUCGUAUCGUAUCGUAUCGUAUCCUUGUGUGGGUAUUCGGUGUGGUAGCUCGCAGCAGCUACUGAUGAACUGAAUGGGCUGGCCUGGCUGGGAGCUGGGAGCUUGGGAGUGAAUGCGCUGUCUGUCUGUGCUACCAGACGCUCAAGUGGAGUGGUAAAAAACGGCUCAAGUGAAGAAGAGGCAGGAACAGAGGUACUACUCCGGUAGGUAAGGUAGAGCCAGGUGGACCGUGGACGGAGGAGGAAGAAGAUAGAGGAGGGGUAAUAUGCGAUGCGAGAGAUGGCAUCCAUCCAUCCAUCCAUGUGAACGUGAUUCCUUCCGGCCGAUGCGCUCCUGCAGAUGAAGAUGGGUGCCAUGCAUGCAACUUGAGCACGCCCGUGUAUGAGGACUGAGAGGAGAGAGUCAUUGCCCUAUUUACCCGUUGUUCGUUCAAAAAGAAAAAGAAAAAAUGGCCUAGUUACCCAGUCAAACAAACCACAUCACAGCUAGUAACUAGUAAUGCAUGCAGCAUGGCGCCCAGAUUCAAACAGCACAAACACAGGACCGCCUCAUGGUGCUGCUGGUCCCUUGUGAUUCUGCAAACUGGACCAUACCCGUAAGAUCAAAGGUGUAAGCCUGUAAUAAUAAGGAAUAAAUUAAGCAGCAGUGACAGUGAGCCACAGAUUCUGUAAUUUCUUUCACCAGCACAAGUCCACAUCCUUCUACUAGUAUAUGCUCUUUCUAACAAAAAUAUAAAUCAUGAAGAUCUAAGUGCACUUUGUGUUGGCUGGCUGGCUCAGUGAGAUGAAUGCACAUGCACAGGCAAGAAGCAGAAGCCGCCACAACCGUUGCAGGUGAGGUCAGGUGACCUAAUUUCCGUUUUUGUAUUCUUCACUCACUGCAGCAGCGCCAGCAACCAGCGAGAGUAUCUUAUUUCGGAUCCAUUCCAUGAUGCAAUGCAACACGACUGCCGCCACUGUAUCACCAAAACAUGAUACAAUAAAAUUUCUUUCUACUGUACGUAUAUAUAGCAGUAGGGAAGACAAGUGGCACGCGGGGGUGAUACAAUGCAAUGCAAUGCAGUUAUGCAAAUGCCUUCGAUAUAAAGAACAAAGAAACAAAGCUGUAGGUCUGAUUCAAAUCUUGCGUGAACCAUGGUGGUUAGAUUAAUAACUAUCAUAAGAAUGUAAUGCCAGAACCAUGUAAUUUCAUACUUACAUGGGCCUCAAUUUGUACUGGAUUCAUGUAUGGCCACGGGGAAAAAAACAAAGAAAAAGGAAUCAUCAGAGAGGUCACCAUGCAUCAGACACUACACUACUAUAAACGAUAUUCAUGGUUAUGUACAAUGUGUUCGCAGCACACAUGGGACGACCUUGUCAAACUCAGAAAGCAGAAAAAUGGAUUUAGGAUUAUUCUUCAUGUAGUGCAAGACUGAUUUCAAGAACCAAUGUUUUGGCAACUAGUAACAGUUUAUCCAGUUCCUCCCCACAGACCUAAAAUGUCUACAUUCCUCUCUCUCCAUACAUUGAUUCACCUGACCACAAUUUGUUACAUGCAUAAACACAAUUAUCUAUAUUACAUUAGGCCAAAUUGACGGUUCAUAAAGGCAGGCACGCCAUAUUUCUAGUGUUUCCUACAACUAAACAACUACCACACAACAACAAUCUGCACCAGCUGCAACAAUUACACACCAUUGUGUAAUGCAAGUUCAGCAUAAUGACAAUGCACACUUGUCAACAUUUAUCCUGAAUCGAUCAUAUGCAUCUGCCUUCCCCAAGUUUCCAUUCUGCUUUCGUAUUAAGUGCCAGAUGGAAAGUGUAUACCAUUUUAGUGACGGUCAGAGUUGUCAGCUGCUUCCUGAUCGCACCAGCAGCGACUGUGAAAACGAUGCAGGGCGGUGGAGGCCGCCGAACUUCAGCGCUUCCUUCCAUCAUCUAAACCACACUCUUCAUGCUAGACCGGGUCACUGGCUGAUUCUGCGUACACCAGAUGCCCACCCUCACCAUCCUUUCCAACUCCACCUCGUCGACACAUUCCCCAGCCGCCACAUUCUUCAAGUCACCGGAUAUCACGUACUCGUAGGCCCACUCAGAAAUGUUGCAUUCCUCACCAGCCAGCUUCAGUUCCAUGCUCUUCUUGCAUCUUAUCAUCUCAAGAAGCAUGAUGCCGUAGCUGUAAACGUCCGCCUUCACGCUGAUUGCCAUGUUCUUGCUCCAUUCUGGUGCAAGGUACCCACGUGUGCCUCGCACGCCGGUGAAAGUCUGUGUCUGGUUCCCUAUUAGUAGCUUUGACAGGCCAAAGUCCGCUAUCUUUGCCAUCCCCCCUGCUGUCAAUGAGUAUGUUCUCUGGCUUAAUAUCACAAUGAAUUAUAGGGACCUCUAUCUCCUCAUGAAGGUACUGUAACCCCCUUGCAACAUCUAGCACAAUUGCAACCCUGCUGCUCCAACUAGCCACUGCAUCUGCCUUUUAAAGGAGGUCCGCAAGGGACCCAUUGGGCAAAUAUUCAUACACAAGUAAGCGGUGCAUGCCUUCGUUGCAGAAUCCCAAUAAGCGCACGAGGUUACGGUGGUGUGUUCGUGCAAUUGCACGCACUUCCCGCUGGAACUCUCUUUCCCCAUUUUCCGCCAUCCUCUCGAGCCUCUUCACUGCAAUAUCCUUGUUACUGUUGGUCAAGGUACCUUUGAUCUUUGAACACCGAGCCAUAAGCACCUCUUCCUAACUCGUUAGCAAAUCCAUCGGUGGACAUCUCCAGAUCCCGGAAAGGAUAGGAUCGAAUAGCUACACUCUCAUCAUCAAAUUCUGAGUCCUGCAGUUGUGGAGGCCUCAUGUACCGUGAUGACAGCCGAUGCUUGCAGAGUAGCAUGAACGCUGAGACCACAAUAAGUGAGAAAAUGGCCAAGGCAGCGCCUGAUACCAACAUGGCAAUUGAGCUAGUGCUCCUAGUCUUUCUGAUAGGACCGUUGGGUUCAUCGGUGUAGACCUUCACAAAUAGCGUGGUGUUGCUACGACUUAGACUCCUGCCAUAUCUCAUUGGAAGCAUCUGCUUUGAGCAGUAGGAAUCGAACAUUGCAACCUCACAGGAACAGUCAGAGAGACAAAGAGCUUUGCAGGCUUCAAUUCCUGUAGUCUGUGGUGGAACAGCAUAUGAUCUAUCUGACCAUGUAGUAUUCUUCACCUCAACCAUCGUAGCUACCAGUCUGGUGUCAUCAUUAGAGCUAUUCCCUGUGCAGCCACCAAUCCGCACCCUCCAGCAACCUGGCAUGCUUUGGUUAGAACUUGAGAAUUCAAAACCAGGGAGGCAAGAGCAGCUAGUAUUUCCAUUAGGACUCAUAUGACAGAAGCUAUUUGGACCACAAACACCUUUCACAUCACACUGAUCACUGCUAGGCUUUUGCCAUUUGAUUUCUGUCAUGGGUGCUCCCCCCUGCCUAAAGAACACAUGGGAGUAGAGUCGCAAUAUACCAUCCGCGUCCAAAGUCAGAUGGAAGUAGACAUCUGCUUUAGAAGAUUGGUUUGUGAGGAACAACACAUUUGUAUAUGUUGUCUGUUGGUCGAACAUCCAUAGUGUGCCAUUGGGAUCCAAAGCAACUGUGAGGAGGUAGCCAUUGCCGUAGGUGCCAGUAUUCCAGUAUGAGCUAUCAGGGUCGACUGCAUCAACAGGAUACAACACAAGAUUGCCAUCCUGCUGGUUGGAAAGCCGAUACUUCCCUGUGGCAUCAUUAGUCUCAGAUACACUUGAGAACAGCUGGCUAUCAGGAAGUAGGUUCUGUCCUGGUAAUAAGGUAUCCGUUGGAGAACCAAAGGUGGACAAAAGUACCUGUUUUUGGCUGUUGUACAACACAAAGUUGCCAGUGUCCAUCAUCGCAGCAGAGACAGGCUGAGUAGAGGUGGCGAAUAUGAACUUCCCUUGGCUGCUAGCGUUAGCUGGAACCCAUUGAAGACCACCAUAAGUUAACUGAACUGAGCCACCAGAAACAGGGGGGUCAUCCCGGUUGGCAGUCCACACAAUCCUUCUGGAUUCAUCGAGGAUAAGCCAGACUCCGAUGGAGAAGCCCUCAUCGUCAGGAUAGAAGCCAAAAGCAAAGCGCCCCGAAGGUGAGAUCCAACUUUGCACGCCGCCUGCGUCGAUUGUGGAUGAACAACAGAGAGAGGUCCGCGCCUUUGCCAGGGAGAGCGAUCUAAAAGGACGGACGGGCCGAGCUCGUAAGUGUCAUGUGGGAGGCAUACGCGGGCCAGGCCCUGUGAUGUGAUGGGCCAACAGGCCCAGGGAGCUUUGCAGCAGCUGCUCUUGGACUUGGACUUGAAGCAGUUUGAGAGAGAUGGUGCGGAGCGGAAACAAACUACUGUAGGCAGCUGUUUCUUUUUCUUUCUUUCUUUUUGUUUUUGUACUUCGUAUAUAAAAUGAAGGCAAGCAAGCAUGUAAGUAUGGAUACAAGAUUGAGUCGAUUUUGACUGUACUGUUGUCGCUCACAUAUACAGAAAGAAAGAGAGAGAGAGAUUGAAAAAGAAAAAGCCUCCUCUCCUGUUCCUCCUUUAUAUAUAUAUUUAUGUAGGUGGGUAUUUUGACUUUCUUGUAGUAUGAUAGGAAAUGUGUAUACUCCACUAGAAUAAUUAUUCAUAGCACACAUCCAUAUUGUAAUUGUAACUGUAAGACUAAUAAUAUAUUUUCUCUAUCCCAAAUUGUAAGUCAUUCUAAAAAUCUUUGAGAAUCAAAACAUCUUUAAGUUUGAUUAAAUUUAUAGAAAAAUUACAAAGUUUGGUGGCAUCAAAUAGAUAUACUAUAAAAAUUUAAGUAAUAAAGAACCUAAUGAUACUUAGUUGAUAUCAUAAAUGUUAUUAUCUUAUCAUAUAAAUUUAGUCAAACUUUAGAGGUUUUGAUUCUUAAAUUUUUUUGAAAUGACUUAUAUUUAUAUUUUGGGAUGGAGAGAGUACGAGGUAGUAAUAGUAUAUAGCGGCUGGGUGGCACUUGCUGACAGAAUCAGGAUUUGGAUACAGAAUAAAAAUAUAGUAGUAGUUAAUGGAAAACAGAGCUGAGCGUAUAUAGUAUUACCACUAGAGCAGUAACUGAUGGAAUGGUAGAUCCUUUGUUUCUCCGUCUCCUAUUCUCCUGUAGUAAGAGCAUCUCCAAGGGCUUUGCAAACAAACUUUGCAUUGCCCUAUUUGCAAAAAAGAGUAGAAAAUACCUCUCCAAUGGUUUUGCAAAUAAGGUUUGCAAUUUGGUUAACUUUACAAAUAGAGGUUCAGGCUUUGCAUAUAUGCAAACCUUCCCACCACUUUGCAUCUACAAUUUCGACCUUCCACGUCGGACUCCGUCCCCUGGCCCCCACCCCGCGCGAUUUCUCUACGCUCGUCCGCCCUCCCUGCCGCGCGCGCCCGCCCUGACGGAGGUGGACGGAACCGAACUGACGCGAACGACGACGGCGACGAACGAUGAACGCGGCCAGGGCUGGGCGGCGACUGGCGCGAAGACCAGGGCUGGGCGGCGACUGGCACGCACGACGUACGUCAAAAUGGCGCGAAGGGAAAAAAACGCGCGGGCGCGAUCGGUGAAAAAAAAUUCAGGGGUGGGAUCCAUACUUUGGGUUUGCCAAGUCUAAAUGCAAAGUCCUUUGAAGUUGGACUAUUUUUAGACUUUGCAAAUGAGUUUGGGACUUUGCAAACAACAUUAAAUACAAAAUUUAUUUGCAAAGUCCCUUGGAGAUGCUCUAAGGCCUUGUUUAGUUUUGUAUGUGAAUUUUUUUGGUACUAUAGUAUUUUUGUUUAUAUUUAAUAAUUAUUAUCCAAUCAAAUACUAACUAGAUUUAAAAGAUUCGUCUUGUAAAUUAUAGAUAAAUUGUAUAAUUGAUUAUUUUUUAGUUAAUAUUUAAUGCUCUACGCAUGUGCCGUAAGAUUUAAUGUGACAAAAAUAUUAAAAAGUUUUUAGAUUUUGACUGUAACAUAAUCAAAAAUAAAUAAAGAAAACAUGUACUAUGUUGGUUGACACGUAGGUAGCGGGAGGACGUGUGGCUGUGCCUGCCUGCGUCGGCAUCGUCCACGUGCGCUCCUCUGCCUGUGUGAUUGUGAAUGGGUGGUGGUUUUGGGCGGCGGCGUGCGAACGGCGUCCGCUGUCUCCUGCCGACCGCGUACUCUACACGUAGACUAACGGCCCGGCCCGGCCCGGUGCGGACGGCGUGAACGGUGCCAUGCCAUGGUGGGGGUGGUCAGGAGCAACGGAACGGAAGACGAGGGGUUCCCAAAAGAAAAAGAAACGGCCUUGGCCUGACCGUCUUCUUCUUACCCAGCCCCAGCAGCCGCAGCCAGGCAAGUGACCGUUGCGCUUGCCAGCCCAGCAUCCUCUUCCUCUCCCUUGCCUUUUUAAUCAGGAUUAGGAUCGACCUAGGAGGAGGAGAGGAGAGUAAUUCAUUCAUUCAUCCAUCCAUCCACCAACGGUACCCUGAGCAGAGCAGAGGACAGCUAGGCAAGGCAAGAAAAUACUAGUAGUUUCUACUGUAGUCCUUCUCCUUCGGGCGAGGCAAAGGCAAGAACACGGACGGAGCCGUGCUCAGGUGGAUUCCGCAUCCGCUUCCGCCCAACGGAUUCAAUUCAUCCAUUCGUUCCACAACCCUCCUCCUCCUGCCCUGCCCUGCCCUGCCCAAGGAACAACAAGAAGCCACCAGCGCGCGCUACCUGCAGAUUGCAGCACACGCAAGGGAGCACAAGCAAGGCAAUCCAGGGAGAGACAGCUUGCACAUCCAUCCACCCCGCAAGCGCAAGGUGAGACAGACACCACUUCUAAUUACCUUCUUCCCUCCCCUCUCCUCUCUAGUCUUCCUGACUCUGACGAAUGAUGCGUCCGUCCGUUCCGCUUCGCAAAUCCUCUUCAUCCCUUGCGGUACCCGGUACGGUACGUAUGUCCUUCUCUCUUCUCUCCCCACACCCAUUAGAUCCAUCCAUCCAUCAAUCAACACACAUGCAAUUCAAUCUUGUUUGUUGCUCACCUCCACCACCACUUCAAACUGGUUUUUUUUCCCCAUCGGAUCAACUCAUCAAUCUAUCCAGAGAUCGAUCGCUCGCUCGACAAAAGUUCCUGAUUUUUGUUCCGCUUCUAGUUCACCAGCUAGCAGCUUCAUCUCACGAUUCAUGAUGAUGCAUCAUGCAAGGGCAGAUGCAGAUGCAGAUGCAGAUGCCUCCGAUUCGCAUCAAUUCCGCCCCCCUCCUCCUUUUCUUCCGUCUCCACUCUUUACGAUUCUUAGUCGUUAAGUCACGCCCUUUAAGUUUCUCCGGAGGAGGGGUUGGGGGUUUGCUCAAAACAUCCUCCUUUUGCAUUCCACUACCACGACGCGUUUGAUAAAGCACAAUAAUACAACCGCAGCUUAGCUUCUUCUUUUCCUUUCCUUUCCUUUCUUUUCUUUUCUAUAUAUAUUUAUUACUGAUUAUACUUGUACAUAUAUAUGGAAUCGAAUAUAUACAAGGAGUACUAGUGUAGUAUGUCGGCAAGGCAAUGAGCCAAUGGCAAUAGCAACGGCAACGGCAAAGCACAUCUUUCUCUUUGGUCAAAGAAGACUACGACGCCUCCUCCAACGCUUUGGGAUGCACGGAGUAUGGAUGGGAGUAAAGCCACCAGCUUUCGAGACCCUUCACAUGCUUUGUUCCACUCCAUCCAUUCGGCAACGCCACACGGCCUCUCACUUCUGUUAUCUGUUCCUUUCCAUGAGCUGUCCAUUUAUAAGACAUAAGCAGGAUCACAGUCCCCAUCUACCCAUUGAUUGCUGUGUGUGUCACCUUCCUUCUCCCCUGUGGCACUCAACACCGCCUGCCUGGCGUCCAGCAUCAUCUAUUGAUUUUAUUAUCAUAAUGUUACUAAUGCAUAUCGUCAUGUAAUUGGGCAACUUAUUCUCGUGCCACAAGCUCCCAGUCUGGCAUAAUUUACCUUGCCCCUGUCUCAACUGAUCCUGGGCAUCUAAUAAGCAACCACAAAUUCCUGUGUCUGCAAUUCAAUUCUCUCACAAGCUCGCUUCCUCCGGGGGCCAUCAUGCAUGUUUUUUAUUCAUGUGUCUGCAAUUCAAUUUUCUCUCGCAACACAAGCUUUGCUUCCUCUGGGGGGGCAGCAUGUUUUUUUGUCAUAUGGUUCGUGUCAUCCUUACUUUGUACAGAUGUUUUUGUACAUGCAGGAGUUAGAGGGCAACCAUGGCUUCGCUAAGUGACAUAGGCGUCGCCGCGGGUUUCAACGUAUUGACUGCCGUUGCCUUCUUGCUCGCAUUUGCAUUCCUUCGGCUGCAGCCCAUCAACGACAGGGUCUACUUCCCUAAAUGGUACCUCAGAGGAAUGAGAGACAACCCAAUCGUCUCUGGUGCAGCUGUGCAGAAAUUUGUCAACUUAGACGGGAGAUCCUACUUGAAGUUUUUAAACUGGAUGCCAGCUGCUCUCAAGAUGCCCCAGGAUGAGCUCAUUAACCAUGCAGGCCUUGAUUCUGUGGUCUAUCUACGGAUAUACAUAACAGGGUAUGUUGUAUGUCUUCUCUAUGUUCUGGUUAGUUAUACUGUUAUCUCCUGCUGUUUAUCUCUCUCUCCCACACACAAACUCACAUGCAUAAUGAUUUAGUGCUAAGUUGGGCAUCUUAUACAGGUUCACAUUGUUCAAUCUUCUAAUAUCUUCCAUCACUGUUUUCCCUGUCUUUCCAUGUCUAUGCACUAAUAGAAUUCUUACUAAUCACUGCAGGCUCAAGAUAUUUGUUCCAAUUACAGUUCUGGCUUUUCUUGUUCUGGUCCCAGUCAAUUGGACCAGUGAUACCCUAGGACACAACAAUGUAGUCUACAGUCCUAUCGACAAACUUUCAAUAUCCAAUGUACCCAAUGGGUCUAAGAGGUGAGCAACAGAUCAUGAACUAACUAUUUCCAACUCUUCUAGGCUUUACGCCUAGCUUAAAAGGCAGAGGCGUGGCCGCAUAUUUAAUACUCUCCAUGUUUUGUUCAGGUUUAUAGCUCACUUGAGCAUGGCUUAUGUCAUCACAUUUUGGACCUGCUAUGUACUGUUCAAAGAGUAUGAAAUUAUUUCAAACAUGAGGUUGCGCUUUCUAGCUUCUGAGAAACGCCGACCAGACCAGUUCACUGUAUGUUUUUUUGUAACUCUGUUAUACUUUGUUCCUGUUUAUUACAAUAGGUUUGGAUCCAUAUGUUUACUUUGUGUUGCAUAUCACAUUGAAUAGUUGAACAAGUAGAGAUGCUCUGGUAUAAAAUUACCAUCGAUGAUUUGAUCAACUCUGCGCUUUUUUUUUCAUUCUCAGAGUUCUACUGGUCGUGUAACCAAAUUCGUGUUCAGGUCCAUCUAUUACUUGGUCCAUGACUUAGAUUUUAUAGGGUGUACAAAUAAUUAGGAACUUGUGCAAAUGUUUCUUCCAUGUUCCAGAUAAAUUGCAUUCGAGUCUUAUGGCUGCAAAUCAAACAUGUUUCUUUAGAUCCUUUUCUGGAUUUUCUGGAAGUCAAAAUGUCUUUUACCAGAACUAUUUUUACAGAGUUGUCAUGAUAAGUUCAUGUGCCUCUGAGUUUGUUAAUUCAAAGUUACUAAUUUGCCAAUGUGCUUUAGGUCCUUGUGCGGAAUAUACCACCAGAUCCUGAUGAAUCAAUCAGUGAGCUUGUGGAACAUUUCUUCCUUGUCAAUCAUCCCGAUCAUUAUCUAAGACACCAGGUACUUCUACUAAACUGUGUCUGACUACAUUCAGAUGGUUAAUGCUCCCUGCAUUUCUAUGGUUUUGCUCUUUAUUUCUUUUCAUCCCAUUAUUAACGUGCUUAGCAGCUCGUGAUUAGCAUAAUGCAAAUACAAUUGCUCUCCAUUAUAAAUUCUUGUGUUUUUCCAAAUAACUGAGUGAUUUUAAAAAUAACUCUUUUAUUAGCAUGAUUCUAAUGUAGUUUCUUUUACAACUCUUUUGCAAAUAGAGAGUGAUUUUUAAAAAGAAAGCAUGCCACGCAAAUAAUAGUUGUAUUGCAUUGAGCCCAGUGCAUAGGACUAACACCCUACGUUACAAUUCAUAUCUACAUAUAUGCAGCAAUGGGUAGCUUGGGCCGCAAGAAAAGUCCCAGCCCAACUACAGUUACAAGGCCCAAUAGGGCUAUACGGCUAAUUCUAACAAAAUAACUCUUGUUUCUGCAAAUUAUGAAUGAUCUGAAAAGGAAAUGGUAAGCAUAAAUAAGAUGAUGUACAAUCUAUGAGAUUGAGUAGAUAAGAUUUAGGCUGGCAUAUGCAUUAUACCAUUUUUCUUUGCUACUUUCACAUUGCACCCAUCUUCUUUUCGUCCCAGAGUAGUAGUAGACUCUUCUGGGAAUUAACAUUGUUCUACAAUAGGGAAGGAAAAUAAAUGUUCCUUAUUGCUGUUUAGGUGGUUUACAACGCAAAUAAACUUGCUGAUCUGGUUGAAAAGAAGAAGAAGAUGCAAAACUGGCUUGAUUAUUACCGACUAAAGUAUGAGCGGAAUCCAUCAGAGAGGCCCACCACAAAGGUUUGUCAGCAAGAAUAAUUAGAUAGCUAUUUUGUUUUUUGAUGUAGAUUUUGGUUUGUGCAUCUCUAAACUGUAAUACUGUAUUAGUAUCUUUAGUAUUAAUUCCUUGUGCUUUCCCUGAGCUUUGUUGCAGACUGGCUUUCUUGGAUGUUUUGGUUCCAAGGUGGAUGCUAUUGACUAUUACAAAUCAGAGAUCGAGAAAAUUGGGAAAGAAGUAAGUUGUAGUUUCUGUACAACUAGAUUGUUAGCUCUUGCAUCUAUGCUUUAGUGUAUACUUUACAUAUUGCUUAUUUUGAUAGGGCUGGAUGCUGAUAUUGUGUUUCCAACAUUCAUUAGCGUUUGCUUACAGUUAACAUGUAUAAUAACUUUAAAUUAAUGCUUUGCAAUACACAGGAAGCUGAAGAGCGUAAAAAGGUCAUGAAGGAUCCAAAAUCAGUUGUGCCAGCAGCCUUUGUUUCGUUUCGCUCCCGAUGGGGUGCAGCAGUCUGUGCUCAGACCCAACAAACCAGCAAUCCAACAGUCUGGUUGACAGAAUGGGCUCCGGAACCUCGUGAUGUUUAUUGGAAUAAUCUGUCCAUCCCAUUUGUGUCCCUUACAGUUAGGAGGUUGAUAAUUGCUGUGGCAUUCUUCUUCCUUAACUUCUUUUACAUCAUCCCAAUAACACUAGUACAGUCUCUUGCAAACCUUGAAGGAAUAGAGAAGGCACUUCCAUUUCUAAAACCCUUGAUUGAAUUGUAAGUCUACAUUAACUUUUGGCUUUAUGCUAUUUCCUUGACUUUUCAGCAUAGCUUAUGGUAGUAUUUUGCAUGUUCUUUUGAUGACAUGUCCUGAUUUCUGCUUGUCAACUAUUAUGCAGGCCAUUCAUUAAAUCAUUCAUCCAAGGGUUUCUUCCUGGAAUUGCUUUGAAGAUCUUCCUUAUAGUUCUUCCAACUAUACUGAUGUUUAUGUCUAAAUUUGAAGGACUGAUAUCACAGUCAUCUUUGGAGAGGCGAUCUGCAUCAAAGUAUUAUAUAUUCUUGUUCUUCAAUGUAUUUUUGACGAGUGUAAUUGCAGGAUCUGCUCUGGAGCAGCUUAAAACCUACCUCCAUACGUCAGCAAAUGAGUAUGUCCUCAUGUCCUGUGCCACCUGAUCUACUGACAUUAUUCCUACUGUAUAAGAUUCGAUAGCACAGCAUGGAUACUGAGUUACUGACUUACUGAGUACUCUGUUGGCCAAAUUGAGUUGUCAUUUUUUUUUCAUGUAUAUAUUGUGUGUUAGGUUUGUGUGGGUGAUAUAAUUUCAGUCUGAUGGUUAAUCCUUGGGACAGAUAAAAUGCAUAGUCCUUGUCAUGUACAGAUAUAUUAAUUGUUCAUUUCACAGGAGCAAUAAACGGUAGAAGUAGAAUUCAAGAGUCUAGGAUAAUACUAAUAGCAAGCUUGUUAGAAAAAAAAGUUUAGGAGAUUGAUGUUCAAUGAUAACAUAAUUUAAGUUUAGAAGGUAGACUGAUUGUUUGGUAGUACAAUACAGGUUUGGCACUAAGACCUAACUAACUCCUGUAUUAGAGGGGAACUUGAUUGGGCAGAAUAUACUGUUACUGGAGCCUUUCUCUAGAACAGGUUAAUGUUAGAGAGAGUCGACUCAUGUGUAUAUGUUUCUGAUAAUCUAUUCCUUGCAUUCUCAUAAUGAAAUUAUAAAAAGGCAGUCAUGAUUUUCAGAGUGUCUAAAUUGCUUGUUUCUGCAGCAUACCAAGGAUCAUUGGUGAUUCCAUCCCAAUGAAGGCGACUUUUUUCAUAACAUAUGUAAUGGUUGAUGGUUGGACUGGAAUAGCUGGUGAAAUAUUGAGACUGAAGCCGCUGAUAUUCUUCCAUCUGAAGAACUUGUUCUUGGUCAAAACUGAAAAGGACAGAGAAGAGGCAAUGGAUCCUGGCAGUAUCUGCUUUGACUCAACCGAACCUAGAAUACAGCUAUACUUCUUGCUUGGCCUUGUUUAUGCUGCGGUGACACCGUUCCUGCUUCCUUUCAUAUUGGUGUUCUUUGGGUUCGCAUAUGUCGUCUUCCGCCACCAGGUAUGGAAUCCCUUUUUGAGGGUUUACGGAUUAUGAAACCCCACUAGGGGCAUUCAAAAUUGAUUUUGAAUAAGUUGCCUGAUUUGAGUCUUGUCUGCUUGUGUUAGAUAAUAAAUGUCUACAACAUUGAUUUUGAAUAAGUUGCCUGAUUUGAGUCCUGUCUGCUUGUGUUAGAUAAUAAAUGUCUACAAUCAGCAAUAUGAGAGCGCCGCUCAGUUCUGGCCUAGUGUUCAUGGGCGUAUAAUCACAGCGUUGAUCGUAUCGCAACUGCUGCUCCUGGGACUGAUGAGCACAAACGACUUUGAGCAGUCGACGCCUGUGCUCCUUGUUCUUCCUGUGCUGACCUUUUGGUUUUACAAGUACUGCAAGAACCGGUUUGAGCCGGCGUUCGUGAGGAACCCACUGCAGGUAUUAUAUUUCACCGUGGCAUAUACUAGAUUGAUGGUGGUAUUUUGUUGUCUACAUGCAAGUUGCUGAACAUAUAUAUAAUGAAAUUGGCAGGAGGCGAUGAAGAAGGACACCCUGGAACGUGCCCGGGAGCCCAACUUCGAUCUGAAGGCGUACCUGGCCAACUCGUACCUGCACCCGGUGUUCAAGGGGGACGAAGGCGACGACAGGUACUCGGUGGUGGAUGACGAAGGGUGGAUGGAGGAGGAGGUGAUUGUGCCGACGAAGCGGCAUUCAAGGAGGACGACGCCCGCGCAGAGCAAGCACGAAGGAUCAGACUCGCUCUCUGUGCCCGAGAGCCAGCGAUAGCCACUAGAGUAGGUAGCCUGUACAGAAUGGUUGAAAAUGAGGGAGAUGCUGCUCCUGCUCUAUUUCUUUGUUUUGGGUUGGUUGCUCAUGACACUGCUAGUGGUGCGUACAAUUGAGAAUACAAGCGGUAUACAUACAGACAUGUUGGUUGAUCUGCAACCGAUCUCAUAGAACAGAAUUCAAGAGAGCUGGGGUAGGACUGAGGGGGAGAGAAUGUUCACUGUAGCUUGAGCAAAGAAUAUGAAUACAACAGUUACAUUAUCUGAUCUGAUGAAUUUGUUAGCAUCAUCCAUCCAUCUCUAGAGUUCUACAUACAUACAUCACCUAGCUUGGCCGCUCUCCUACCAUUCUGGUAAUCGGAGAACAGUCAAGUAAAAACAAAAAAUGCUCUAAAUUAAGACAAAAAACUUGACGGAUCAGUCAGUGCAUAGAUGAGAGCAGAGCAGAUCAGUCAUGCCACCUGAGAAGCAUCACGACGCAUCUCAUGGCGAUGUACACCUUGGACCUCUGCUCCUUGAGAGAUCUGCCGAACCCUCCAGCUCCAGCGGCUGAUCGGCUCCUCAGCUGGCUCCCAGCCUUCAUCUUCUUCAUCCUCAGGCUGCUUCCUUGCUUGCUUGCUUGUGCAACAGGAAGCAGCAAUGGCAGAACAGGCAGGCUUGUGGAUAUGUAGAGGCUUGCUGCAGAGCUUCCCAUGGACUCUCUCUUAUAUAGCUAGAUAUAGGCUUAACUGCUUAAGCAGACGCAGAUCUCAGAGCUGCAGGACAGGAGUAAGUACAUUAUUAGUUAUUAGUUGCAUAAUUGCAGGCCUGGAGGAUGAGGAGAGUGAUGGGCAUCACUGGCAACCCACGCCUGCAUGCCGCUGCACCAUCAGACAUGGCCGUGAAAACUUGAGCUUGUUUAUAUCUGGCCUUAUAUUUUACACUACGGCAACUGCAAUGGCCUCCAUGAUCCGAUUCCUCUUGUCGGCUGCGUGCCCUCAUCUAACUAUCAAUCCACAUGAUCAUGCAUGUGUCGUCAUGUGCGAUGUGAGGUGGUAGUACUUGGGUAGCUGCCGCUAAGCUUCCUCCAGUCCAACUCGGAUUAGAUUACUCUGCUCCAAAUACAAGAACUUGGCACAGCACGCAAGAGAAAGAGAUGCCCUGCUUGGUCACCUGCCUACGCCGAAUUUCUCUGUUUGAUCUGCUGCUCACUGCCAUUACGACACGGCAAGUUGGAGGCACGCAGAACAAACCACACACCCUGGCCUGUAACUGCAGCAGCAGACAAAGAGGACGGGAGCUCUGAAUCAAAUAUAUAUAUAUUAUCACAUGCAGCACGGUGAAUGAUGCAUGCAAGCAAACUUUAUUUUAGGAGGCAGAGAGCAUCUUCGUUGUAUUGGUACAUUGUAUCGCGCGCGCCUGCAAUUUCCUUGUUGCAGCUUGCAUUGUCAGCAGAGAGCUACGUAUGAGUUGAAACAGAGAGACAUGAAUGAAACUGCAAUUUUGCAGAAAUAUGAAACUGCAAUUUUGCAGAAAUAUUGCAGCAGGCACUUGACUAUGAAUGAAACUGUAAUUUUGCACAGACUGCAGAAGUGCAGAAGGCACUUGAAAAGUUUUAAGAAGAAGCUAACUAGCUAGGUAGCAGUCUUGCAUGCUCCCAACUAAGUCGCAAUGUCCCAUCUCAACCAGCUCGAUCUGUUUCCUUACGUUUACAGAUGAAACUAAGUAUCAGAAGCCACUGCAUAUAUGUCCUUGUUUAUUUGUUCUAGUACAUAUAUCUUGUUGUUCAUCAGGAACUCCGACCCUUGAUCAGAUAGAUGCAACGAACUCGAUGCAGUUUGAUCUCGGCCCAUGCUUGCUUGCAGAGUUCUCAUUAUGGUCUCCUUUUACGUACCUUGCAAAAAACAUGGACAAACAAAUGAAGAAAAAGGUAAGUGGUACAUGUACAUAGAUACAAGGAUCGGAGGAGAUCAGAAGAAGAGGAAAUCAGUAGACCAUGCACAGUAUGUAGCACACAAGUACACAUUGCAACAUACUGACUACAGAUAGGUAGGCAGGUAGGUAGCCAAUGCAAGAAUCAACCAAUUGCAACUAAUAAUGCAGAAACGGCACAGCUAGCGUUAUUGGUGUAUGCAGAUCAGCAGAUGUAUCCUGUGUAGGAAUAUAAUGAGCAGGUAGCAGAUGCAUGGCUGCAUUACAUCACCUGAUGAGCCCUGAGAGCAGAAUAUAAUGCUGGCUGAUGCAUGAUGGUGUAGACUGCUGUAUCGAUCAAGAGCAUGCAGCAGCCAGGGCUAGCUUCCCUGUUGCCUGCUGCGUGGUAUGUGUUUGGAAUCGCCAUGGAUGGAUCGGCGAUGUCAAAUGCUUUCUCUUGCCUUGGUAGCAAGUAAGGGAUCGAUGCCGAUGGUAAUGCUGUAUACUACUAGUAGUAGGGUAUAUAUGCAGUCGAUGAUGAUGCAGGCAACAAAACAACAUAUGCAUAUGCACGAUCGAGGAAGAAGGGAGAUGAGGGAGAGGAAGCAACGCAUGAGCACUGCAUGAUGCUCCCGCCCCGUCCGACACGGGGUGCGUGGCCGACAAACAGAUGCGCAGGCGGAGGAGGCGGCGGCAGCCUGCCUGAUUGCCGCCCAUGAAUCCAUCCAUGAUGGAUGAUAUAGAUGCUCUCUGUCCAGUCCAGUCUUCGAUCUUUGCCACUGUGUCCAAGUCAACCACUGUGUGUUACUCCGGUCGGCCGUAAAAACAGCCAAUACUAAUGAUCUUAAUUUGUUGUGAAAAAAAUACACAGCUGGUUAAUCAUAAAAUUUCUGGAAGACGCCCCAAUCUAUCUAUAACUCUUAUAAUUCUAAACCCCACUAAGUAUUUCUCUAAGCAUGCAAGCUAUCCACCUAAGCAAUGCACUACCAUAUUGAGUUAAAAUCCACUAAGUAAAACCUAAAUAACUAUUUAUCUCAACAUGCAAUGUGCUACCACAUAUAUACAAUUAAAAUCCAAUAGCACAUAUGAUAAUUGUAGUGUCCACGCCAGCAAGACAAAAAUAAGUAUAGUCCACAUCAUCGUACUAGGCAAUCCAUUAAUCCGCAAUUUCCGCAGCAACGCGCGGAGUAUGCUCCUCGUUUUUCAAAUUGGAUCGCUUGAUUGGAAAAGGCUUCAGGGUUAUAAUAAACCCUUAAAAAGGCAUAUAUCUAUCUGUGCCAUCUGCCUGCGGGCUGCGGCCCACCAUCUUCUUUUUCUGCGUCGAUCGAGGCCGUGCUGGGCCUAAUCCCAGCCCAGGAAAAUCAAAUCUCUUUCGGCUGUGAUUAUUGUUACGGCUACGGCUGCAUCUCACAGCUAGCCACAAAAAUCAGAAACGAUCAGAAAGCAUGCAAAUUUUGUUUUAAAUAAAUUAUAAGAUAUGUUCGGUGACUUAAUAACUAUCUCAAGGCACCAAUCACUUGCGUACUGCGUCUAACACGAGGUUCAAAAUAUGGUAAACACAAUAUCUAUCUACUGUUAAAGAAGGGUUACGACAUGAGUCAUUUGUUUUAAUUUUCCGCGUCAUGAAAUAGUUUAUAAAAUUUCUAGGAUAUACUGUAUUUUCAUGAUUGAGGGAGAAGUACAGUUAAAUACUUGUCUAGAUUGUUUCAAUGUACAGGAGGACUGAAAGAUUUAUGCAAUCUAUAUUUGAUAUUUCAAUCCAAAAAACAAACAGGCCUACCAGCAUGAACGAGGUGCUACCAUACCACCAUGCUGUAGAGUAGUAGAAUGCAUGCACGAGGUUAUCACAGUCAAGCAUGCAGCAUGUCAGCAGCUUUAUAUUACCAGCUGAUGAAUCAGCAAGUUUAUUAUAUUACCAUGAGAGAACAAGGAGAUAAUCACAAUCUUCAAAUGAAAAAGUCUACUGUAUCAAAUCAGAAGAAAGAUGUAUAUAUAUGUACAUGUGCUCUUGGCCCGGAAGGAAACCAAGAGCUGGUGGGCUGGAUUAUAAAUAAUAAUUAGUAAAUAUGCCCGUACAUUAUAACGAGAAAAAAAGUUCUAUCAAACAUGAAUAAAAAACGAGAAUGAGAAUGUUAUAUAUCUAUUCAUUUUAUUACACUUUGUAAAAUUUUAAACUAAAUUAUGUUUUAUGUUGAUCAUAAAGAAGUCGUUUUAGAAAAGGACACUGUCUCUAAAACAUAACUUUGACUUUAUUUUUCUAUAAGAAAAUUUAUUUAAAAGUGAUAUAUGUAUACUUUUGUAAAAGUAUAUUUCAAGACAAAUCUAUUCAUAUGUUUUUCACAUUUCCAAACUCAAUGACUUAAAAGUUAUUUAUCAUGAUUUAUAUUUUCAAUGUUUGACCCCCUUAUCCAAAAUGACUUCUUUUACCAACCUAGAGGGAGUAUAAUUUAAGUUGAUAUUGACAAUAAUAUGAUAAUAUUUUAUUAAAUUUGUUUAAAAUUAAAAAUAUAACCUUGAUAGAUAUUUUUCUCUUCUAUUGUAAGGCAUAAAAAUAUUUAGUUGUCAAUAAUAUCAUAACUUUAAUUUUCAUACUAUCCUAUAUUGAUAGAGUUGGAUACUGAGUUUCAUGACUUUUUUUAGACCCAUAAAAAUAUGUAAUUUAGGAUUGUUCACGACACCAACACCGGACCGGUUCAACAGUCGGACUCACUAAAUAGCGAACGUUCAUCAAAUUUGAAUCUAGCGAACGAUCAGACAGCCUCCACGACUUUCCUUUUUUGGCAAAAAAAGAAAUCCCGCAAUUUUCUAUUUUUGGAAAGUUUUCUAUUUUAGGCAAAAAAAAUCGCUACUUUUCUUUUUUGAAAAAUUGUACUCACAACUUUUACGUAAAACUUAUGGAACAAACUUUUACGUAUAACUUAUAUACAUGACUUUAAUAUAUACCUUCACUGUGACAAAGUUACACACAUAACUUAUACAUAUAACUUACUACAUGAUAAAGUUAUGCGCACAACUUUUAUCUAUAAUAUUUUAUGGAACAAGUUUAUCAAUAUAAUUUAUGACGAGACAAUUUAGCGAACGUUCAAAAAAGUUAAAAUUAAAACUUAAGCAUAUAAUUUAAUUAAACCAAUUUUAACAUAUAAGUUAAUAACUGCAAGUUAAGCACAAAAUAUAAUAAAUCAAAUAGUUUUGCAAAAAGUUAGACAUAAAAGAUAAUAAUUAUAAGUUAAUAUCUACUAGUUACAUGUAGAAAGUUAGAUAUAAAAUUUGUGUACAAAAAGUUAGAUAUAAAAGUUACGUGCAGAAGUUAAUAAUUAUAAAAUUUACAUCUAGCAUUUUAAAAUAAAUGUUUUAUUUUUAUAUGAUAUCAGCGGUGGUUAUGAAAAAACACGCUAGAAGAGGAGGUAGUUUGAACCUUUGUUACAUCAAAUCUAAGUGAACGAUCGCCCAAAUAAAAUAAGGGUUGACAGCAUAUAUAAAAAGAAAAAAUUGAUAGACUUAUAUCUAUACCUACUAAUAAAUUGUGAAAAUUUCAGUCUGCCAAAAUUUUCUUCAGCCCCGUCUAGCCCAGCCCGGAAUCAGUCUCUCGGUUCAUUUAAAGCUUGUAGGAGAGAAAAAGAAAAUAGAAUAUUUUCUAGGGUUCCCAAUGCAAAAUCUUCAGUUCACGGGAUCGCUGGCCUCGGCCCGUCGGGCGGCCCUUCGGCCGUCCGCUCGUAGAAAGUAAAAAGAAAAUAAUUUUUUUUAGGAUUCCCAAUGCAAAAUCUCUUAUAUUCUAUUAAUUUUCUUUUCUUUUAUUCUUUAAUUUGGCUGAAAAUUAAUAAAUAUGUAGUGAUUCAUAGAAAAUCUAAAAAAUACAAAACAAAUUUUAUUCAGCUCCACAUAUGUAGAUCCAUACAGUAAACAAAAAAUAGGUGCAAAGUGUUUAUCCUAUUAAUUUACUUUUCUUUUAUUCUUUAUAUCGACUAAAAAUUAAUAAAUGCGUAGAAAUUCAUAGAGAAAACUAAAAAUUACAAAAUAAAAUUUGUUAAGCUCCACAUAUGCAGAUCCAUGUAGUAAAGAAAAAAUAUCAUAAAUUUUAGUAUAUUUUUUUGCUGAAGAUGCUUGCCUAUGCUUUUUAGUGUAAAAUUGAAAUUGUAGUUAUCUUGCUCCAAUUAUUAUAAAAAUUUUAUGGUAGCCUAUUUAAUGUGAUGCUUGAUUUGUGGUAAAAGUUUUAGCACCAUUCCUGCAUAUCUCACUAAUUUACUAAUUUACCUAAAUUUAUGCUUGCUAAAUAGUUUAGCAUCAAUUUAAGUAUGUACAAAUAUAAAAAAGAUGCCUCCACUACCUUUGCACGAUGUGUUGUUAUAUCAUAUGACACUUCAUAAGCCCAUGUGUUCAUAAUCUAUAUACAUUUAACUGAUAUAUCAUAUUUUAUAGGAAUCCUAAUCUAAAUAAAAAAUGCUAGCAACAAACUUCUUAUGUUUUAAUAUAAUACUAUUUUUAUUAUUAAAUAAAUAUGUCUCCAAGCUACAUAAUAUUGUAAAUAUUAACUAUCUCAUACCAUAGAUGUCAUGGUUAUCAAUAAAAUAAAUUAUGGACUUUAAUUUUUAUAAAAAAAGAUAAAUAUAAAUAGAUAUGUAACAUUAUGUCAUCACUUUUUAUGACCAUUUGAUGUUUUUCUCCCGUUGCAACGCACGGGCAUAUUUGCUAUAAAAAAUAAAAAGAGAAAAAAAGGCAAAAGAAAAAUUAAAAAUGUUUUAUAACUUUUGUGCUUCAAAGUUUUGGCAUAAGUUGUAAGUUAUAUGGUAUAAGUCAUAUGGUGAUAAGUUUUACAAAGUGUUAUACCAAGUUGUUAGUAUAACUUAUAGAAGUAAGUUAUAUUCUAUAACAUAUAUGUAUAACUUAGUCACCUUCUAAAAAUGGAAAGUUGCGGAAAUUAUUAUUUCCAAAUAAGGAAAGUUGCGGGAGUAGCUGAUGAUUCGCUGGAUUCGUUACUGGUGAACGACCGUGGAAUUGCAUUUGGGCCAGUUCAACAUGGAUGGCGUGUGAUUAAUUUUUGGCUUUCCUUGUUCGUUAUCUAUGAUGACGUGAUUAUAGGAGUCCUUGUUUGAUUUGAUUUUUUGAUAUAGGAACAUAGGACUCCUAUUUAGAUUAGAAUUUCUAUAUAAGCACGAGUUAUAUAUAUAAUUUUAGACAAAAAAAUUCUCCAUUGUCACAAGAAGAUGAAUAGAAAAUAGAUGGACAAAAGGAAUAAUAAAAUAUUAUUUUUUUAUUGUUAGAUAUAGAUAAAUAAACUAAACUAACGUGGGGUGGGUAGGAGCUCCCGUUAGGAAGGAAUUGGAAGGAAAACGGAAAACCGCCUACUUUGUUCAGAUCUUUUUUUUUAUUUUAACACCAUAGCAUUUUCAUAUUUAUUUGACAAAUAUUAUUCAAUUAUAGAGUAAUUAAGUUUAAAAGAUUCGUUUCGCGAUUUACAGAUAAAUUAUACAAUUAAUUUUUAUUUUUAUUUAUAUUUAAUAUUUUAUGCAUAUACAAUAAGAUUUGAUGUGAUGGAUAAUUUUUUUAAAAAAAAUAGUUUUUGAGGUAACUGAACAAUGCAGAUCUGUUUCCCAAAACUGUGGAUUCCUUCCUUCUUUCCUCGCCGUCCCUGUCUCAUCAGUCCACAGUCGGCAUCUGCUGGCCUCCGGAAUUCUCUCUUGGACCACUGCAAUGGCCAAGGAAUCUUCAACAUAAACUAGAGUACUGCUGGUACCUAGUACUCCUCUUCGGAAAAUGAAAAGAAAAUCUAGUACGUACACCGGUUCCAUGUUUCUAAUAUUAUCUUGUUAUAUCAUGACAUGAUUAGAAGCCUUCUUUUUUUUCCUAGCCGUCUACUGCUUAUACUACCUCCACCCUAAAAGAAAACAAUUCUAUCUAUGUUUAAAACAAGUUAGUUUUCCUCUCUAUGUUUGACCAGAAAAUAAUUUUAAACAUUUAUAUCUUCAGAGAAGCUUACUAAAAAACAUACAUACUUUAUAAAAUUAUCUAAUAAUAUUUAUUUGGUAUUAUAAAUGUUAUGUAGCAUUUUCCAAUAAAGUACUCCCUCCGUCCACGAAAGAGUCAAUUUCUAGAGCUGUCUUAAGUCAAAAUUUUUAAACUUUGACCAAAUUUCUAGAAAAAAAUGCUAGAAUUUAUAGUAUCAAAUUAGUAUUAUUAGAUUCAUCAUAGAAUAUAUUUUCAUAUAAUGUGUAUUUUAUAUUAUAGAUGUUGUUAUUCUUUUCUAUAAAGUUAGUCAAACUUUAAAAAGUUUGACUGGCACGGAUCCUAGGAAUUGAUUCUUUCAGGGACGGAGGGAGUAUAAGGACAAUAAAAGAGAGGAGAAAUAAAACCAGCCGUGGUUUUGGGCGCGCGCCCACAGAAAGACAAUAAUAGCGACGUUUGGGAAGCAAUGCCUUGCCAAUCUGUCUAGUUUUGGAUCCAUUCUAUUGGUUGGAGUCCCCCUGGAAACUGGGGCGGGAAGGCAAGAAAGGCCAGGCCACGUCAGGUGUCGCUGCAGGUUGAUUGGACACCGACCACGGAUCGGAUGGAUCUCAAGGCCUUGUUUAGUUUAAAAAAUUUUGCAAAACAGAUACAGUAGCACUUUCGUUUGUUUGUGACAAAUAUUGUCCAAUUAUAAAUUAACUAGAUUCAAAAGAUUCAUCUCAUCAAUUCCGACCAAACUAUGUAAUUAGUUUUUAUUUUCGUCUAUAUUUAAUACUCCAUGCAAAUUCCGACCAAACUAUGUAAUUAGUUUUUAUUUUCGUCUAUAUUUAAUACUCCACGCAUGCGUCUAAAGAUUCGAUGUGACUAGAAAUCUAAAAAAUUUUGCAAAAUUUUUUAGGAACUAAACAAGGCCAGUUGAUCCAGUGCAUGCAUGCGUUGCAAGUACUCUAUGGUUUUGACUUUUGAGUAUUGUGUUGGACUAUUUAUCUUAUUUAUAUUUUUUAUUAAUUGUAUUGUAAAAUAAAUAAAUUAUUAUCUUUAAUUGUAAAAUAUUUUAAAAUAAAAUAAUUAAUAUAGCUUCCUGUUCGGGUGUUGGAUGGAACUGGAAAAAGCCACCGGUGGUCUUGCUCUUCCAUCGUCACGUACUCCUACUCCUAAUGAGUAAUGACGACGGUGAGCCGAUGAUAUAUGAUGGAUGGACGGACGCGGCGAGAGCCACAGAUCCCUCCUAGUCCAUUCCAUUGUUAGAUGUUUACUUCCAAUGUUCUACACUUAUACAUGGAUAGAUUGGUCGCUAUAUAUCGGAAUGGAAUAUCAUAAGAUUAGUUUAGAAAAAUAGACAAAGCUACAAAUUAAGUUAAGGUAAUGCCACAACC
Molecule: long non-coding RNA, 40827 nt
Filed under: Sorghum bicolor (sorghum)
Lineage: Eukaryota; Viridiplantae; Streptophyta; Magnoliopsida; Poales; Poaceae
Description: long non-coding RNA (SBIC_LNC016811)
Rfam family: MIR5565 microRNA precursor family (bases 4924-5032)
Source: RNAcentral